CUGCAGGUAUUUCAUCUCUUAAAAACUUCCUCCAAACUCAGUUUCAAAUCAAAGACUUGGGAUUGUUGAGUAUUUCUUGGGUAUUAAAAUUAUGAGAAGUAAGAAGGUAUUUUCUUGUUUCAAAGAAAAUAUGUCAUCGAUCUAUUGACAGAGACAGAAAAAUUAGGUGCUAAGCCUUGUAGCGCACCAAUGACUCCAACUUUACAACUGUUAGCAGGGGUUAGUGAGUUGUUUGAAGAUCCA
RNAcentral lists this unclassified non-coding RNA (243 nucleotides) under Hevea brasiliensis (rubber tree). Lineage: Eukaryota; Viridiplantae; Streptophyta; Magnoliopsida; Malpighiales; Euphorbiaceae. The record is from RNAcentral.